RNAcentral lists this ribosomal RNA (301 nucleotides) under uncultured bacterium. RNAcentral describes it as "partial 16S ribosomal RNA". It matches the Rfam family "Bacterial small subunit ribosomal RNA", at positions 509 to 807 of the family's 1533-position model. The record is from RNAcentral.
CAGCAGCCGCGGUAAUACAGAGGGUGCAAGCGUUAAUCGGAAUUACUGGGCGUAAAGCGCGCGUAGGUGGUUUGUUAAGUUGGAUGUGAAAUCCCCGGGCUCAACCUGGGAACUGCAUCCAAAACUGGCAAGCUAGAGUAUGGUAGAGGGUGGUGGAAUUUCCUGUGUAGCGGUGAAAUGCGUAGAUAUAGGAAGGAACACCAGUGGCAAAGGCGACCACCUGGACUGAUACUGACACUGAGGUGCGAAAGCGUGGGGAGCAAACAGGAUUAGAUACCCCUGUAGUCCCUGUCUCUUAUAC